UACAGAGACUGCAAGCGUUAUUCGGAUUCACUGGGCGUAAAGGGUGCGCAGGCGGCCAAGUGUGUCAGGUGUGAAAUCCCGAGGCUUAACCUCGGAACUGCGCCUGAAACUACUUGGCUAGAGUGUGGUAGAGGGUAGCGGAAUUCCCGGUGUAGCAGUGAAAUGCGUAGAGAUCGGGAGGAACAUCCAUGGCGAAGGCAGCUACCUGGACCAACACUGACACUGAGGCACGAAAGCUGGGGGAGCGAACAGG
RNAcentral lists this ribosomal RNA (253 nucleotides) under uncultured bacterium. RNAcentral's name for it is "partial 16S ribosomal RNA". It matches the Rfam family "Bacterial small subunit ribosomal RNA", at positions 524 to 776 of the family's 1533-position model. The record is from RNAcentral.